UCUUAGACUUGACAGUUUGCUCAACUAGGUUGUCUGCGUUUAUCUCAAACUGGCACGUAUCAAAUGAGGUAUAUAUGUCAGAUCAUCAGCACAUUAGGUUUGACUUAAGCACCCUAAACGAGACUUACCAGAUUUACAGUGAAAGUAACCCUAUGG
Long non-coding RNA from Rhagoletis zephyria (snowberry fruit fly), 156 nucleotides. RefSeq lists it as uncharacterized. Lineage: Eukaryota; Metazoa; Arthropoda; Insecta; Diptera; Tephritidae. The record is from RefSeq and is a predicted model, not a curated record.